This 238-nucleotide long non-coding RNA is filed under the name Phaseolus vulgaris (common bean). RNAcentral describes it as "long non-coding RNA (PVUL_LNC001365)". Lineage: Eukaryota; Viridiplantae; Streptophyta; Magnoliopsida; Fabales; Fabaceae. The record is from RNAcentral.
UCAAAGAAGAAAGGAAGUGGCUCUGAUGAAGACCGCAGAUCGCCUACUCACAAACAAAUUGAAGAGAAAGAGGAGGCUAAGGAUGAAGAUGAUGAUGAUGAUGAUGGUGUGCAAUGGCUGACAGAUACGUCACUUGAUGCUUCUCGUCAACGUAUCAAAGAACAGUUAAGUGCCGUGACAGCUGAUAUGGUUAUGCUUACUACUGAUGAACCAGAGAAGAAGAAAAAAGCAGCAAGUA